GGCAAAGCAUUUCUGGAUUCACUUGAAGACUGACACAUGGACAUGUUUCCAUUGAAGUUGCUACAGGUGAUAGGAGUUUUCUUUGGAAGACUGACAAAAGGACUGGAGCAAAGCAAGUUAUUAUUACAUCCACUUAUUAGAAAAAAAAAUAAAAAUACAAAAGAACAUGCUAUAAGAUAAAUAAUAGAGCCCAACUUGUGCAAUGCAGCAACUUCUCAGAGCUACAAAAAAGAAAUCAGGGAUGAUCACAGUCCUGAAUGCACACUCACAAAGCCAUUCCAGAUUGAAACUUUGAGCACCCAUAGUCAGUUCAACAGGAAAAAGUAAGAUACAGUAUUUUAAGGACAUGACUUUGAUAAUUCUCUAGUUUGAAGCCAGGGAUAAGUGACAGGUUGGACAUUUCCACCGGGGAAAUAGUCUAGUUACAUUGGAAUGGAUUACCCUUUGCUAUUCAACAUCUCAGCUCCCUAGUUACCAUCUCCAAACUAAGGUGUUUGCCUCAGCACGUGGUUGUUUACACAGUGACUUAUCUUACCUUGGUGAGAUAUUUGAUACCCAUAAAACAUCCGUCACACUCUGUCCUACUGCUUUUCUUUAACUCAGGGCAAGGCCCAUCCCUCUUCCAAAACCUUUGACAGCUUUGAAAUAUGAGUGUUGCUGUCGGUGUAGCUCAGGGGCUGUGCAGUGGUUGCUUUCUCCAGAGGCUCUGCAACACCUCAGUACUUCCCCUUCUUUGAACAGAGGUGGCAAAAUCCAUAAUUUGUUUCCAUUCUGCUUGGCUGAAAAUGAGGAAAAGUUUGGGACCCUGUCACAGAGAUAGUUAAGUGAAGAGUCAAUACAAUGAAGGCCUCUGCACCAGGAGUAGCCCAUAAUAGGUGGCGGCAGUGUCACAACUCAGCUUGUUUUUUAAUAUAGCUCUUUUUUUUGGUUUUUCUUUUUUUUUUUUUUUUGUUUUUUUCCUUCUUUUGUGUGUGUUUUUCUUUCCUUCUGGGUGGAGCAGAGCUGGAGAGGUGAUGACUUACCUGCCACAGCUCGGUAGAUCGCAAUCUGGAACUGGCAGAGUGUUAACACAAUGCCCCAGCAGAGCUUUUCUGUCUCUAAUUUCAAUGAUUAUGUUGUUACUGGAUCAGUGAAGAGAACCAUGAAAAACACAAUUACCAGGAAGCCCUGUUCCUUCGCUCGCCUCUUUGUCUCCCUGCGAAUGGGGCAUGUGACUCACGGAGCAAUAGAGGACCCGCUGUAAUCUCACGCACUACCGAGAAGGGUGCUGUCCGCCGAUGGGACCCAAGCGUGGGAAAGCCUGACUGCCGGCUGGAAGGGCCAGUCACGUCAUGUUUUGCAGCUGGCAUCCAAAUGCAUCCUGAUGAAUCAAGUGAGAGCAGCUACCUUCUCCUGCCACAACGGUGGCCGAGCAGCCGUGCAGAAGAGGGGCUGUAAAACCCUCCCCGCAUGCAAAAGCACAGGGAAGGGACUAUGUUGUGAAUGAGCUUACUGUGACAGCAGAGCAAUGUUUUAUAGGUCACUGGCAUAGCAUCAGACUAAAGGGAGAGAAGAUGAGUAUCUUUCAGCUGUGAGUGCUGCUUUCAGGUUUGUUCAGUGCAGGACCAUGGCUGUGGCCUGACUCGACCAUGGCUGUGGCCUGACUCGACCCUGUUAUGUGAUGCAUGGUGGGAAAAGAGAAAGUCACUUGUUCUCUGCACUCCAAAUCAUGUAUAAACCUAUGACCUCAACAACAAAUACCAGUAGCAGCAGAGCAGCCAAUAUUUUUAUCAUUAAUUGCUAUCAAAAAUGUCAGCUCAAAGUCAUCAGAUUUGAUAGGCGAGCAUGCUCCAAACUGACGGCUGAAGUGAAUUAUUUGCCUAUUGCGUGAUGCAAAAACAAUGUCUUGCAGGAGAGAACAGACAUUGGCAAACAAACUGACAACAAGAUAUACUUCUGGGGAAGGCUCCUGAUUUCAUCUGGAAGGAAACAUUGAGUAUAAAUAUGGAGAAAGUUUACCUGCAUGAAAGGUGGGGUUGAGCCUUGGACUUCCUUACUCUUCUGGAGAACAGUGAAACAUACCUGCUAUUGUACUCCCUUUGAGCUGUUCUCAUUGCAAAAAGGUACCAGACACCUCAGAAAGUUUUUUAAGUAAUAAAGCAUUUUUCCCCCCAUCCCUGGUGAAUCCAUUUAUCAGUGACUAAUGAGCACAUAAAUGCCAGCAUGUGAAGAAAAUUACCUUCAUCUUGGUGUUAAGCAGAAUUUUCCCUGCCCAUGGAUCUGCAGCACAAAUCUUUCUAGUCUUUCUGUGCUGAGGGCCUAAGCAUGGCCAGACAGUACACAGUGCAGCACUGGCACAUUAAUAAUGUAACUACUAGGUACUACAGAUUGAAUCAGGACCUGUUUAAAUACUGGUAUAACCAUGAACAUCAUCCAGGACAUGUUUCUGUGGGAUUUAGUGACUGUCUUUAUUUCGCACAGUGGGAAAAACCCCCUCUGGAAGCAGGAUUCCAGUGAAGGGAAAGUUAGCUAUGCCUGCCAGGGAUCUCUUUUGCCCCCAAAAAUUCAGACAUCACGGGACACAAGCAGAAAAUGAAAGAGAACCAGCGAGGGGAAAACCAAACAGGCUGGGGUCUUCUUGACACUUCUUUUGAAGUCCCCAGUGUAACUCCUGGCAUCUUCAGUGGGGUUUGGCUGGGUUCUCUGCAGAAGCGUCUUUGAAGAUUUUGCUAAGGCUCAAGGCCUUGAUCAUGGCAACUUUUAUGCCUGGGAGCAACUCUGUGCAGAUGAACAUUUCCAGGGUGCUCAGCAGGAUGCUUUGGAUGAGACUUUGCAGGGCUAGUCUUAAGCAAUGAGAGCUUAAGAGAAAUAUUCUGGUUGUCGUGCUUUUAUCCUUGACCACAUCAAAUGAAAUGCCUUGGCAGUUCUGGAAGAAUGAAUUUGCAUUGAAAACCCACAGCUCUUACAAGCAGUGCAUUAAUUAUUUUAUUAAUUUGCCUUUUUUACAGUAUGGGAAACAUUCAUCUAUUUACAUUUUCCUGUCCACACACAAACCAGAUACAUAAUGCUAUGGAAACCCAAAUCAUUAAGCCAUAAAAACACUCUUUUCUGUCUAAAGGCUUUCAAACUUGUGUCUUUUGUUUCAAAUCAAAAACAUUUUUAAAAUCACAUUUGGGAAUGCAGGUAGGCCAGUGAUUUACAUUCUACUUAAAAUAUGCAUUUGACUGUUUUCCUUAAAAAGAACAACAAAAAUCAAAAAAACCAAAACCCCCAAUAAAUUCACAAAGAUGCAGUUUAAAUUAAAGUGAUAGUGCACAUCAAAGCAUUAAGGGAACACCAAUAAAUAAAAUGAAAUAUAUUACAAAUAAAUUAUUUCUAUUUACCUUUUCAAAUAUUAAAAAUCUUUAAUCCAUUUCUUCAUCUUUCUUUACAAAAAGAUUAUGAGAAUUUUAUGGAAACAUCUGCAAAAAAUAUAAUAAAUACCUCUUUUUUUUUAAACUUUUGAAGCAGGAGACAAAACCAACCUUUUCUAAAAUUUCCCCCAAGAAAAAAAAAAAAAGCAACAGUUUAGUCCCAAAGUGAAACAGAAUAUAGGCAUUUUUAAAAUACACUGGGCAGUUUAGACUAAAAACAGAUAGUUACAAAUUAUACUAAAACAGAUGAUGGAGCAAAUAUACUAGCAUUAGUGUUUGUAAAUGAGUCAAGUGGUUAACUAGUGGCAUUCUACGGGCAGAAUUAUUUUAUUUUGUAUUUUCUGGUAUUGGCUGUAUUUUUAAUAUUUUGCUAAAAAACUAGGCAAACAUUAUAAUAACCUCUCCAGUGCCAAACGAACUAACAAGCAUUCAUCUAAGAAUAAAUUCAUUUAAAAUAGAUACAAAAAAUAUUCUAUGAUAUACAAAUACAAUAAUUUGUAAUGUACAAGACUAGAUAGUCUUCACUUUUCUGCUUUUUUAGGGGGGAACUUGCUGCAUAUAAAUUUCUGUAGCCACUUGUCAACCAAAGUCUUAACUCAUCAUUCAUAAAACGUUCACAAAACUAAGUAAGUCUGCAACACAGUUGUGAAUGUGGACUCUCACCUAGGUACUGCUUUAAAUAAUUCAGUACAAAUGAGUUCCAAAUAAUUAAUACUUCCUAUGACUAUAUAUGCUCAAAAGUGGCAGUUGGCACUAUUACAUACUGCAAACACGGUGAUGUUUUGUUGCUGCUAAAAGUUAAACGCAGUGUUUCAAAACUAGCAAAUACACUGGUAUUCAAACGCUUAGAGGGUCAAACCUUUUGAAGCUCCUGUAACAUCAAGCACUCUAGAGUUACACUGGAUUUCUGAUUACUCUAGUUAAAAGUCUUUAUAUAUUAAAUUAUUAGCCCUUAUCUUGUAAACCACAGCAGUAAAUAUUUGUGCCCUGUUUAUAAAGACAUAGCUCAGAUAUCGAUGGCUUUGAGAGGUAGCAAAUUCUCUAGUGGUUUUAGUAUGCUCUCAUGAAAAUACUUGGUGCCAGAACCUAUUACCUCUCCUAUUUUCUCGAAUAAAAUUAAAUUAGCACCUGGCUAUGAUGUCAUAGGAAAAGAAGCUGUCUGGCAUGGUCUCGAUGAAUACUUUUAGCAAGAGCUUAACUUUUCGAUGAUGAUUUUCAAUGCUUUUUAAGUGCAAGCUGCAGAAUUACGCCACAUGUGCAGUGGGGCUUUUCACUGGUUGGACUGUCCAUACAGGUUGAGCUGUCAUGGGCACAGCCAGCCCGCACUGGCGUGCAGCAAGGGCUGCCACCUGUGCCCCUCCAUGGUGGGGCUGUCACUGUGCCUGUGCUCACUGGGAGCAGAAAGCAGCCUGCCUUCCUCUCCCGCGUACCCCUGCCCUGGCAGACAGGGUGAAGAGCACGUAGGGAGCAGCAGAGGAGUCUGGAAAAGAUCGCUGCAGGACUGCACACGCACUGAGGGCUGCACAGCGCUCCUCUGCUCAGCGCUCCUCUGCUCAGUCCUGUCACCCAAAGCAGCCCACGCUAAUUCUGCUGGCAGCAGCACAUGCCAGUUAGGCACACGUGUGUGCACUCACACACGCUCACACGCACGCACACAACUCGCUUUCAGCAACAUGCCUGACAUAGCUUUCCUAAUGUUGGCACAAGAGAUUCCAGUAGCAGCGUGGUCGGCAUCAUUCGUCAUCAGAGGAGCUGGAGGACAAGCCCCUGUCCCAGCCAGAGGUGGCUGGAGGGGACAGACAUACAGGAGCUGACCUCUCAGGCUCCUCUCCAACCCUAUUAUCUGCCAUUUCCACCCACUAUUAAUGAGCUACUUAGGAUGCAUAUUUUUCGUGAUUGCAAAACAAUGGCAGAAGCCAGGGUAGGAAGGCUUGUCGUGAAAAAUAUUAAGUUCAUAUUGAUCCCAUAACUUGUGAAAAAUAGUCUAUUGUUCUUGUUCAAGUGAGUACGUUAUGCUAUUAAGAGGAGGCUGAGUUAGAAAUUUACUCCUAAAUACGGACGGUUUGGUGAUAAGCAGUCUGAACUGUAGCAUACAACCAGCUGUGGAUAGAGCAAAGCAAGCCUGGCCUGGAAAAGCAUCAGAGGCUCCAUGUACAGUAAUUCACCUACAGGUGUCUGUGUGUGGCUGCGUGGACGUAUGAGAUUGGAUGGUCCCACCGAGAUUAAGACAUCAACAAAACCAAGCUUUUUUUUCUUUUUUUUUCUUUUUUUUUUAACCAAUAUAAUCCAUACAAUACAAUACAAGAGGAAUUGACAAUACAGUACAAUUUUAAAAAUUCUUAAUACUUGGACAAGAAAAUCCUUCUUUUAUAUUAUCUCUUCAACUGUCAUUGCUUCUUAUCUCCUUCCUUUUUACUCUUUUAUUGCCUUUCAAAAUAGAUUAUUUCCCUGGAAGAUCGAAUUUACAAUCUUCUGCUGAUUGAAAUGUUUAAGUAGUGAUUGAUGAAAUAAAAAUGAGGCAGUUUGUGCA
Molecule: long non-coding RNA, 5922 nt
Organism: Vidua chalybeata
Lineage: Eukaryota; Metazoa; Chordata; Aves; Passeriformes; Viduidae
Exons: 2
Source: RefSeq, a predicted model, not a curated record